UUUCUCUGGGGAUGGUUCUCUUGCUUUCAGCCCAAGGCCAAGGAACAGACAUUCCUCGGCUGGGAUGACGGUGCAUCUUUUAUCUAGCAAGUCACAUUUCGACUCUGUGUUUCAAUCAACUGUAAAGUCUUCGGGGCCAUCUUAGAAAAGGGAUUUUAUUAUUUUUCCAGACAUGCUGUCUUCAGAAUAAGUGAAAUUCAAAAUGUUAAAAUGAGGUGGCUCUGGUCAUGUCUUGGCCAAAGCAUUCUCACUUACCUAGAUUAUGGUUCCAUCACAAGGAAGAGUUUGGUGCUGAACUCUUUGUGGUUGGCAUGUUUUCCUCCUAGAUUGGCACUGUUGAAGAAAAGCGGGGAGGAAGAUUGGAGAAACAGACUCAGCAGGAGGCAGGAGGGCAGCAAGGCUCCGGCCAGCAGCCUGCACACCCAGGAAGCAGGGCGGUCCCUCAUCAAGAAGGAAGAAGGAGGAGUUGCGGAUGAUAUUGCCGUUUCUAAUCUGCUUUGGGAACCUGUAUAUGCUUCUACUUAUUCUCCUGCUAUUCCUGCUGCCCAUAAAUACCUGUCUUUUGUGUCGAUUAAUCAGAGGGUCACAGAAAGUCGAGAGAGCCAGAUGACAAUUGAGGAAAGGAAGCAGCUCAUCACUGUGAGAGAGGAGGCCUGGAAGACGAGAGGCAGAGGAGCGGCCAACGACUCCACCCAGUUCACUGUGGCUGGCAGGAUGCUGAAGAAAGGUUUGGCGUCACCCACUGCCAUAACCCCAGUAGCCUCACCCAUUUGCAGUAAAACAAGAGGCACCACACCCGUUUCCAAACCCCUGGAAGAUAUCGAAGCCAGACCAGAUAUGCAGUUAGAAUCGGACCUGAAGUUGGACAGGCUGGAAACCUUUCUGAGAAGGCUGAAUAACAAAGUUGGCGGGAUGCACGAAACGGUGCUCACUGUCACCGGCAAAUCUGUGAAGGAGGUGAUGAAGCCAGAUGAUGAUGAAACUUUUGCCAAAUUUUACCGCAGCAUGGAUUAUAAUAUGCCCAGAAGUCCUGUGGAGCUGGACGAGGACUUCGAUGUCAUUUUCGAUCCUUAUGCACCCAAGUGAGUUAUUUGGGUCUCCGUCUUUCCUCCACUGAGAAGGGCUUCCUUCACCUAUACACAGCAUAUCCACGAGGCUCUUUCCCCAUGUGACCUCCUUCUUCUAACUCCAUCACAGGGGCGUUAGUAUUCUAGAGCCAGGGCACGCUGUUGCAGGAGCCAGGGGCAGGGAGCCUCACAGCAGAUAGAACAUGCAGACCAGAUGUGCAGGCAGGCAGACCGUGUGGGCCACAGUUGCUUGUCCUGUGCCAUAAAGAGGGCGUCACUGGAUUUUUCACAUAAUUUGAAUAUCGUUUUGCAGUUUUUAGGGUUACAUUACUUAGCAGAGAGUUCAACGCCUGUCUUUCAUUGGCAUAUUGAAUCCUUCCUCAUAAUGUUGCAAAAUAUUUGGAUGAGAUGAGCUCAAAUUAGUACAGCUCACUAGAAAAUCAGUAAGGCAUGUUACUUAGCUUCUAAUCAUUUACAAAAUCAGUAGAUCUGGGGGUUUUCUCAUUGAUGUCUAAGGGUUUCUCUUCCCACGGGAACAUGACUAAACCAACUAGGAAAAGUGAUUAUGGUAUUAGGAGUCCGUCAAUUUCAAGUGCCGAGGAGAAGAUCCCAACUCAAACUGAUUUCAGCAAAAAGAAAAGUGCGGAGAGGUUUACCCGCUCACUGGCUGAACAGUGGGGAGGAGUUGACCGGCCUCACUCGCCGAACAGUGCGGAGGGGUUUACGCUCUCACUCGCUGAAAAGCGCGGUGGAGUUGACUGGCUCACUCGCUGAAAAGUGCAGGUGUGGCCUCGGGUUCUAGAGGCUCCUCAGAACACAGUCUGUCUUGGCUUUGGGCUGGCCGCACUCUCCGUCAGGCAAUGGCCAGGCGGCAGAUGGACACCCAGCUGUGGAGUCACAAGGCUGCCUCCCUGGCCAGCCCAGCACAGGUAGCUUCUCUUCUCAAUAGUCCCAGCAGAAGUUCCAGGUUUGAUUUUCUUGGCUUCAACUUGAGUCCCGUGUCCAUCCCUAAACCAGUCACUGUGGCCAAUGGGAUAGAAGAUGCCGACUGGCUAAAGGCGGGUCUCUGGGUCUCCUCUAGAGCCACGGUGGGGGCGCAGGGAGGUGGUUUCCCCAAAGGAAAAUCCAGAUCCUAUUACAGAAGCAGAGGAGGACACACUGGACAGGCUCCACCCACGGCAGUCCACCACAUCCAUCGGGUCUUUCCUUCGAAAUUGUCAGAGUGACAUAUACCAUUUUCUACAAGCUGCUCCUGAUAAAUUCAUUGCAUAUUCUGGUUUGCUCAAUUUGUUUCAGUUUGCAUGUUUUAAUUUCCUACCUUAAAAAAUGAGCCCUUUUCUAUUUUCUACUUCAAAAUAGUAUUUUGGGUAUUUGCAUACAUAGCUGUUUAACCAUUUCUCAAUCUUCUGCCCACCCAAUGUCACUGUUUAAAUUAUUGUAUAUCAUAAUGUAAACAUAUAUGUAUAUUACACACUUGACACCAUGGUAUGUAAAGAGGCCUUUCGGGCACAGAGGCCCGCGCAGCUGCAGGUGGAGAGUGGCAGCAGGAGUCUGUUGGGAGAUCACUUCGCACCGUCUGCUCACCUCACCAAGUCUGGUUUUCCACCCCAGAGUUGUGAAAAUGUAGGAUGGUCACAGAUGGUUUUGGUAGGACCCUGAGCUUCUCGGAGUUGGGAUGUGGGCUGGAGGGAGCCGGCUGGGGGCAAUGAAUGGAGGCGAGGAGAUGGGCUCCAGGUUCUCACUCCCACUGUAGGCUGAGCCACACUGCUCUCAUCUGCCCAAUAAUGUGGGGUUCCAUCAUUCUGAAACAGUGAUUUUCUUGGUUUGAGGUGAUAGCAUGCAUAAUCUUGAUUUUUGGAAUAAUCUUGCUAUAAUUUUCAUUUUCCCAUAACACUCAUAAACCUAUCUCCUCAUGUUUUUCUUAGAAAUAUAGUAUUUAGAUGAAGUGGUUGAGUCUUUUCGUUAUAACUGGUUUACUAAGAAAGUAUAUUUCAGACCACGCAUGGUGGCUCAUGCCUGUAAUCCUAGCACUUCAGGAGGCAGAGGCAGGAGGAUCACUUGAGCCCAGGAGUCUGAGAGCAGCCUGAGAAACAUAGCAAGACUUCAUCUCUACAAAAAAUAAAAAAAUUAGCUAGGUGUGGUGGCACUCACCUGGGGUCCCAGCUACUCAGGAGGCUGAGGUGGGAGGAUCACUUAACCCCAGGAGGUCAAGGCUGCAGUGAGCCAUGAUUGCACCAUUGCACUCCAGGCUGGGUGACAGAGCCACACCCUUUCUCAAAAAAAAAAAGUGUAUUUCAAAACCACAACACCAUAAUGAAUUGACAAGUGGUGUUAUAUGUCUUCAAAUCUAAUCCCAGUGAAAUAAAUUUCUGAAUUU
RNAcentral lists this long non-coding RNA (3444 nucleotides) under Rhinopithecus bieti (black snub-nosed monkey). Its description in RNAcentral is "lncRNA (ENSRBIG00000045852.1)". The record is from RNAcentral. Lineage: Eukaryota; Metazoa; Chordata; Mammalia; Primates; Cercopithecidae.